This 673-nucleotide ribosomal RNA is filed under the name Macrobrachium laevis. RNAcentral's name for it is "SSU rRNA". It matches the Rfam family "Eukaryotic small subunit ribosomal RNA", at positions 547 to 1187 of the family's 1831-position model. The record is from RNAcentral. Lineage: Eukaryota; Metazoa; Arthropoda; Malacostraca; Decapoda; Palaemonidae.
AUUGGAGGGCAAGUCUGGUGCCAGCAGCCGCGGUAAUUCCAGCUCCAAUAGCGUAUAUUAAAGUUGUUGCGGUUAAAAAGCUCGUAGUUCGAGUUCAGUUUCGGACUGGGGUGGGAGGUCACCGCCCGGUGCUUCCCCUUUAGGCUCCGAACAGCUUCCUUUAUAGGAAGCCAAGCCGGUUCUGGCGGGGUGCUCUUUACCGAGUGUCCCGCGCGGCCGGCCAGUUCACCUUGAAUAAAUGAGAGUGCUCAAAGCAGGCUACUCUGGAAUACAAUGCCCGAAUGUUAACUGCAUGGAAUGAUGGAAGAUGAUCUCGGUUCCAUUUUGUUGGUUUAGGGAGCCCGAGUUAAUGAUAAAGAGGGACUGUCGGGGGCAUCCGUACUACGACGCGAGAGGUGAAAUUCAGUGACCGUCGUAGGACGAACAACAGCGAAAGCAUUUGCCAAGAAUGUCUUCGUUGAUCAAGAACGAAAGUUAGAGGAUCGAAGGCGAUCAGAUACCGCCCUAGUUCUAACCCUAAACGAUGCUGACUAGCAAUUCGCCGUCGUUAUUCCCAUGACGUGGCGAGACGCCCCCGGGAAACCUCAAGUUUUUGAGUUCCGGGGGUAGUAUGGUUGCAAAAGUGAAACUUAAAGGAAUUGACGGAAGGGCACCACCAGGAGUGGAGCCUGCG